Sorghum bicolor (sorghum) is the source of this 1542-nucleotide long non-coding RNA. RefSeq lists it as uncharacterized. The record is from RefSeq and is a predicted model, not a curated record. NCBI's taxonomy places the organism in Eukaryota, Viridiplantae, Streptophyta, Magnoliopsida, Poales, Poaceae. The transcript has 4 exons.
CCGUCCCCGGACCCCGGUUCACAUUAGCCACCGGAAAAAGGAACUGCCGGCACCGGCGGCCACCGCCGCCAAAGCAGGAAGCCGCCUUGGCCCUUGGGUGGUGCUGUGUAGCCAGCUGACGGGUAGCUAGGGACGGUGAGGCCACGGUGCAGUCUUACUGUCUAUCGGGCGGAGGGCAACUCUGCAGCAUGCGACGGCUGCCAGGAAGGCAGAUGCGGCUGGAGGCGAUGAGGAUUGCUCCUGCUCUGCACGUCGGCGCCCAUGGGAAGUUAGAGGAACAUCACCAGGGCUAUAAGAAGGGCAGAAGUUGAAGCAACACCUGUGACCAGAAAGAGUCCAGAAAAGCUUCUGAAGUUUAGACUGCUGGGGCUGGCGAUGGCACCAUCAUUUUGACAGACAUGUUGAUCUCCGAUCCAUUUCUUUUCUAUCUGAAUGAUGGCAUCUCCUUCUGUUAUGCUGAGGAUUCUCCUGGAGAAGUCAUUGACCAUAGGAGAUCUCUUGGCUUGGACAUUGCCUGCAUUGGAAUCUCUGAUGUGAAGAACCAGCUUUGUCUUAUAGUCCCUAUGAACUGCGUAGAAAUCUUCCAUGGCCAUCAAAAUACUUGUAUGUGCCAUCUUACCCACCAAUGACUGCAAGUUGAGGAUCACUCCAACAUUGAGUGUUGCUGCUCCACUUAUGGGAACUCUGUGAGCAAAACUGAGGAUAACGAACACCACAGAGAAGGUGGUUCUAGCUGCUAACUCCAUCCCCUUGAGUUGUGUAAGUUUUAGAGAAUGUGAGUGUGCCAAUGCAGUCUUGUAUGGAAAAUCUUAUAGGUCUGGAUUUUUUUUUUGUGUGCUUUGACUUGGUCCAGUUAUAUUUCAGUUCUGUAAGCUAUGAACUAAAAUUUAAAACUCUUCCAUCUCUUUUUCUUGUGAAAGGUGCUAUCCUUUAAAUAUGAUGUAUCUGAGUGCCUGCAUGCUGAAGCCGGUGGCAGUGGAGAUUCAAGGAAAUUCCUGGCGAAUAAACCAAGAAUGAUCUGGACAGCUAAUUCAACCGGUCUGAAUACCUGCAUGGGGAAGUUGAUAGCUGCGCAGAGAUUCUGGGAAAUUCCUGGUAACAACCGAGGAUGGUAUGGACAGGUUCCCUGGUCAAGCCAAUCGAUCUUUGGCCCUGAAGUGAUAAUAUAAUUGCGACGAGAAAGGUCAAAAGGAACUCACUGCUGGCAGUCCUGCGAGUCGAAGCAUGAGAUCGCCGUCCAGAAGCAAUCAAAACAGUGUUGACAAUGAGCAGUCAAGUCAGUGGGCUUAGCUUUCUUGUGAGGGUACGUACGAACUGACGAGUGACCUCGAGGGAAUUAAAGUAUCAUGCUCUGCGUUAAGAGAAUCUGCUCGCUGAUUGUUGACUUUUGAAAUAUGUGCUGCAUAACACAGUUUUUUUUUCAUUAAUUUAUGCAUCUGGUAGUUGCGGAAAUUAGAUUUUCUGACUGUAGCAACUGAAAUUGUUGGAGAAAAAUAUUCAGAAUGGCAACGGUGAUCCAUAGUCCAUUUGACUUUUCAUCUA